CGUAAAGCGCAUGCAGGUGGUUUGUUAAGUCAGAUGUGAAAGCCCGGGGCGUAAAACCUCGGAAUUGCAUUUGAAACUGGCAAACUAGAGUACUGUAGAGGGGGGUAGGAAUUUCAGGUGUAGCGGUGAAAUGCGUAGAGAUCUGAAGGAAUACCGGUGGCGAAGGCGGCCCCCUCGGACAGAUACUGACACUCAGAUGCGAAAGCGUGGGGAGCAAACAGGAUUAGAUACCCCUGGUAG
Molecule: ribosomal RNA, 240 nt
Filed under: uncultured bacterium
Lineage: Bacteria
Description: partial 16S ribosomal RNA
Rfam family: Bacterial small subunit ribosomal RNA
Source: RNAcentral